Nicotiana attenuata is the source of this 1269-nucleotide long non-coding RNA. RefSeq lists it as uncharacterized. NCBI's taxonomy places the organism in Eukaryota, Viridiplantae, Streptophyta, Magnoliopsida, Solanales, Solanaceae. The transcript has 5 exons. The record is from RefSeq and is a predicted model, not a curated record.
UGAUCUUUCAUGAACUUGGCUUCGAUUCUAAUGAACUAAUGAUGCGUUAAAGCAUUUGAUGUACUUUUAAGUACUCAUAACUGUGCAAAUUUUGUGUUCCAAAUUGCUUUCCAUGCGUAUGUUGAAUGUCUCGGUGAUUCUCAUGGUCAAAGUUCCCCGGGCAUGAGGACUGGGUUCUAUAUGUAGCAUCUAUUCAAGCUUCAAAGUAGUGCGGCAUAAUGACCGCAAGGAAGUGAACCUUUUAUCCCUCCAACACCCAAGGCCACCAGGUAGAGGCCACCAAAUAACAUUGCUGCUUGGCCACGACCAGCUUCAUUACAUGAGGUGUUUCUGUUUACGGAUGCACAGAUAGACGGCCUCAGGGAAGGUCCAGAUUGGCAGGUGUAGGAAGGUGUACUCUAUCUGCUUAUGCUUUUGGAUAGUAGCAGACUAUACAAUGCUAGUCCGUUCUUUUCCUUCUUUGGGCUCGGGUCGAUAGUAGCCGUGGUAGUAAUGCCCCGGAGCCCGGGAAAACAUUGAUCUCAAAGAGAUUCAAUGAAUGUUAUCUGGUGGUGAGGCAAGCAUCAGAUAAGAACCCGCCAAGUAGACCGAGAAGGAAGGAAGUUCCCAUAAAGUUGGUAACUAUGUUGGCUGAAGCAGAUGGAGAAAAAUUCAUAAUUUUCGAUAGAUAAAGGACUAGAUUGCUCGCAUUUGCCAGCAUGUGAUGUAAUACUUUUCUAAGGGUGAAAGGAAUCCAAUAAAUUGAAAUCAUCUGAUGAAAUAGAUCUCACUUUCAAGCAUUUUGAGAAGGUAAAUAAAAUUCAUGAUGGCUGCUGUACUCCUUUAGUUUUAUCUUCAGCUUCAUCUCACCCCUAUCCCACUCCACCUUCUCUUUUCUUAAUCAAAACUCAGAGUUACAUCUUCCCCUCCCUCUGCUUUGAUCUUCUUCCAGAUAGAGUCCAUUCCCUGGUACAUGUUAAGUUACCUUGAGUCACAGGGCUCUGUUUGAAAUAUAAGCUUCAAUUAGCAUUCCUUAACCUUUUUCUUUUUGUGUCUUUGUGAGUACAACACUGAGGUUGGAAUCCUGAGGGACAUGAAACGGGAGAAGAGAGGAGGGUUCAGGUGGAAGGUGAUGAACUGAACAACUAUGUUAAACUUCACCUCCGGCUUGUAUGAUGAAUUACUAUAGUUUGAACAUUCGUAUAAUGGAUGGUCAUCUCAUUUUGUUUGAUAAUAUUCUCUAUUCGAUUUUCUUUGUAUCUCGUGACAUAAUCUAUUAGAAUUGCUAUA